Molecule: unclassified non-coding RNA, 275 nt
Filed under: Ceriporia reticulata
Lineage: Eukaryota; Fungi; Basidiomycota; Agaricomycetes; Polyporales; Irpicaceae
Description: partial internal transcribed spacer region
Rfam family: Eukaryotic small subunit ribosomal RNA (bases 1-46)
Source: RNAcentral
AAGUCGUAACAAGGUUUCCGUAGGUGAACCUGCGGAAGGAUCAUUAUCGAGUUUUGAACGGGUUGUAGCUGGCCUUUCACAAGGCAUGUGCACGCCUGGCUCAUCCACUCUUUAACCCCUGUGCACUUUUCAUGGAUCAGAUGGAAGGCUGAGGAUCUAUCCUCAGUUUGAUGUCUGUUCUGUGUAAUUUUUCUACCAACUCUUGUUUAAUGAAUGUCUUCUUGCGGAUAACGCAAACAAUAAAAUAACUUUCAGCAACGGAUCUCUUGGCUCUC